This 964-nucleotide ribosomal RNA is filed under the name Photorhabdus akhurstii. RNAcentral's name for it is "bacterial SSU rRNA". It matches the Rfam family "Bacterial small subunit ribosomal RNA", at positions 28 to 983 of the family's 1533-position model. The record is from RNAcentral. Lineage: Bacteria; Pseudomonadati; Pseudomonadota; Gammaproteobacteria; Enterobacterales; Morganellaceae.
AGGGGACGAGCGGCGGCCUACACAUGCAGUCGGGCGGUAACAGGAAAGCGCUUGCGCUUUUGCUGACGAGCGGCGGACGGGUGAGUAAUGUCUGGGGAUCUGCCCGAGGGCGGGGGAUAACCACUGGAAACGGUGGCUAAUACCGCAUAAUGUCGCGAGACCAAAGUGGGGGACCUGAAAGGGCCUCACGCCGUCGGAUGAACCCAGAUGGGAUUAGCUGGUAGGUAGGGUAAUGGCCUACCUAGGCGACGAUCCCUAGCUGGUCUGAGAGGAUGACCAGCCACACUGGGACUGAGACACGGCCCAGACUCCUACGGGAGGCAGCAGUGGGGAAUAUUGCACAAUGGGCGCAAGCCUGAUGCAGCCAUGCCGCGUGUAUGAAGAAGGCCUUCGGGUUGUAAAGUACUUUCAGCGGGGAGGAAGGGUUGAGCCUGAACAGGGCUGGGCCUUGACGUUACCCGCAGAAGAAGCACCGGCUAACUCCGUGCCAGCAGCCGCGGUAAUACGGAGGGUGCGAGCGUUAAUCGGAAUGACUGGGCGUAAAGCGCACGCAGGCGGUCAAUUAAGUUAGAUGUGAAAUCCCCGGGCUCAACCUGGGAACGGCAUCUAAGACUGGUUGACUGGAGUCUCGUAGAGGGGGGUAGAAUUCCAUGUGUAGCGGUGAAAUGCGUAGAGAUGUGGAGGAAUACCGGUGGCGAAGGCGGCCCCCUGGACGAAGACUGACGCUCAGGUGCGAAAGCGUGGGGAGCAAACAGGAUUAGAUACCCUGGUAGUCCACGCUGUAAACGAUGUCGAUUUGGAGGUUGUGGCCCUGAGCUGUGGCUUCCGAAGCUAACGCGUUAAAUCGACCGCCUGGGGAGUACGGCCGCAAGGUUAAAACUCAAUGAAUUGACGGGGGCCCGCACAAGCGGUGGAGCAUGUGGUUUUAAUUCGAUGCAACGCAAAGAACCUUACCCUACUCUUG